GAUGAACGCUGGCGGCGUGCCUAAUACAUGCAAGUCGAGCGAACAGAUGAGGAGCUUGCUCCUCUGACGUUAGCGGCGGACGGGUGAGUAACACGUGGAUAACCUACCUAUAAGACUGGGAUAACUUCGGGAAACCGGAGCUAAUACCGGAUAAUAUAUUGAACCGCAUGGUUCAAUAGUGAAAGACGGUUUUGCUGUCACUUAUAGAUGGAUCCGCGCCGCAUUAGCUAGUUGGUAAGGUAACGGCUUACCAAGGCAACGAUGCGUAGCCGACCUGAGAGGGUGAUCGGCCACACUGGAACUGAGACACGGUCCAGACGCCUACGGGAGGCAGCAGUAGGGAAUCUUCCGCAAUGGGCGAAAGCCUGACGGAGCAACGCCGCGUGAGUGAUAAAGGUCUUCGGAUCGUAAAACUCUGUUAUUAGGGAAGAACAAAUGUGUAAGUAACUAUGCACGUCUUGACGGUACCUAAUCAGAAAGCCACGGCUAACUACGU
Molecule: ribosomal RNA, 496 nt
Filed under: uncultured bacterium
Lineage: Bacteria
Description: partial 16S ribosomal RNA
Rfam family: Bacterial small subunit ribosomal RNA
Source: RNAcentral